UUCUAUUAGAUCUUAUUAAUAGUAUAAUCUGCUCAAUGACAUUAAAUAGCCGCUAUUACUGUGCUAAGGUAGCAUAAUCAUUUGUCUUUUAAUUAAAGACUAGAACAAAAGAUUGAACAUUUUAAUUAAUAUAUUAAAAUUAAUUAAUUUAAUUUAUUUAAAAUGUAAAAAAACAUUUAUAAACUAGGAAGACGAUAAGACCCUAUUAAACUUAACUUAAGUUUAACUGGGGCAGUUAAUCAAUUAAUACUUUAAUUUUAAUAUUAAAAUAAAUAGAUCCUAUAAAAUAGAUUAAAUGAUCAAGUUACUAUAGGGAUAACAGCGUAAUAUUAAUUUAAAGACCUUAUUAAAAUAAAAGAUUACGACCUCGAUGUUGAAUUAAUAACCUAUAUUGUUGCAAUAAACAAUUAAAGGGAGUCUGUUCGACUCUAAAAAAAUUACA
Molecule: ribosomal RNA, 442 nt
Filed under: Aysenoides nahuel
Lineage: Eukaryota; Metazoa; Arthropoda; Arachnida; Araneae; Anyphaenidae
Description: partial 16S ribosomal RNA
Source: RNAcentral